AACGAACGCUGGCGGCAUGCCUAACACAUGCAAGUCGAACGAACCCUUCGGGGUGAGUGGCGCACGGGUGCGUAACGCGUGGGAACCUGCCUUUAGGUUCGGAAUAACAGUGAGAAAUCGCUGCUAAUACCGAAUAAUGUCUUCGGACCAAAGAUUUAUCGCCUUUAGAUGGGCCCGCGUUGGAUUAGCUAGUUGGUGGGGUAAAGGCUCACCAAGGCGACGAUCCAUAGCUGGUCUUAGAGGAUGAUCAGCCACACUGGGACUGAGACACGGCCCAGACUCCUACGGGAGGCAGCAGUGGGGGGAAUAUUGGACAAUGGGGCGAAAGCCUGAUCCAGCAAUGCCGCGUGAGUGAUGAAGGCCUUAGGGUUGUAAAGCUCUUUUACCAGGGAUGAUAAUGACAGUACCUGGAGAAUAAGCUCCGGCUAACUCCGUGCCAGCAGCCGCGGUAAU
Molecule: ribosomal RNA, 453 nt
Filed under: uncultured bacterium
Lineage: Bacteria
Description: bacterial SSU rRNA
Rfam family: Bacterial small subunit ribosomal RNA
Source: RNAcentral